RNAcentral lists this ribosomal RNA (387 nucleotides) under uncultured bacterium. Its description in RNAcentral is "bacterial SSU rRNA". It matches the Rfam family "Bacterial small subunit ribosomal RNA", at positions 28 to 414 of the family's 1533-position model. The record is from RNAcentral.
GACGAACGCUGGCGGCGUGCUUAACACAUGCAAGUCGAGCGGUAAGGCCCUUUCGGGGGUACACGAGCGGCGAACGGGUGAGUAACACGUGGGUGACCUGCCCUCAGCUCUGGGAUAAGCCCGGGAAACUGGGUCUAAUACCGGAUAUGACUUCAUGACGCAUGUUGUGGAGUGGAAAGCCUUGUGCGGCUGAGGAUGGGCCCGCGGCCUAUCAGCUUGUUGGUGGGGUGANGGCCUACCAAGGCGACGACGGGUAGCCGGCCUGAGAGGGCGACCGGCCACACUGGGACUGAGAUACGGGCCCAGACUCCUACGGGAGGCAGCAGUGGGGAAUCUUGCGCAAUGGGCGAAAGCCCUGACGCAGCGACGCCGCGUGAGGGAUGACGG